This 77-nucleotide transfer RNA is filed under the name Gammaproteobacteria bacterium. RNAcentral describes it as "tRNA-Arg". It matches the Rfam family "tRNA". From Rfam's summary of the family: Transfer RNA (tRNA) molecules are approximately 80 nucleotides in length. Their secondary structure includes four short double-helical elements and three loops (D, anti-codon, and T loops). The record is from RNAcentral. Lineage: Bacteria; Pseudomonadati; Pseudomonadota; Gammaproteobacteria. RNAcentral also lists the same sequence under 2 other names.
GCCCCGGUAGCUCAGUUGGAUAGAGCGCGCCCCUCCUAAGGGCGAGGUCACAGGUUCGACUCCUGUUCGGGGCGCCA